This 2193-nucleotide ribosomal RNA is filed under the name human gut metagenome. RNAcentral's name for it is "bacterial LSU rRNA". It matches the Rfam family "Bacterial large subunit ribosomal RNA", at positions 643 to 2856 of the family's 2925-position model. The record is from RNAcentral.
AGGUUAAGCACUUAAGGUGUGGAGCCGUAGCGAAAGCGAGUCUUAAAUGGGCGUCCAGUUACCCGACGUAGACCCGAAACCAGGCGACCUAUCCAUGAGCAGGUUGAAGCGAAAGUAAAAUUUCGUGGAGGACCGAACCCACGUACGUUGAAAAGUGCGGGGAUGACUUGUGGAUAGCGGUGAAAUUCCAAUCGAGCCUGGAGAUAGCUGGUUCUCCCCGAAAUAGCUUUAGGGCUAGCCUCAAGCUUAGAGAAACGGAGGUAGAGCACUGAAUGUCCUAGGGGGUAUUGCACUUACCGAAGACUAUCAAACUCCGAAUGCCGUAUUCUUUUGCUUGGGAGUCAGACUAUGGGUGAUAAGAUUCAUAGUCAAGAGGGCAACAGCCCAGAUCGUCAGCUAAGGUCCCUAAAUGUAAGUUAAGUGGUAAAGGAUGUGGAAUUGCACAGACAACCAGGAUGUUGGCUUAGAAGCAGCCACUCAUUUAAAGAGUGCGUAAUAGCUCACUGGUCGAGUGAUUCUGCGCCGAAAAUUUCCGGGGCUAAAACUUACUACCGAAGCUACGGCAUCAUUAUGAUGGGUAGGGGAGCUUUCUAUGUGGCUUGAAGCAUGACCGUAAGGACAUGUGGACUGCAUAGAAGUGAGAAUGUUGGCAUGAGUAGCGAGAUGUGGGUGAGAAUCCCACAGGCCGUAAACCCAAGGUUUCCAGGGGAAGGUUCGUCCGCCCUGGGUUAGUCAGGACCUAAGCCGAGGCCGAAAGGCGUAGGUGAUGGACAACAGGUUGAUAUUCCUGUACCACCAAUAACCGUUUGAGAAAUGGGAUGACACAGUAGGAUAAGCUAACCGCACUGUUGGUUAUGUGCGGGCAAGUAUUGAGGCAGUUCCGAUAGGCAAAUCCGUCGGAAUAAUGCUGGGGUACGAUGCGGAGCGAAAUUUAGUAGCGAAGUAGCUGAUUUCACACUGUCGAGAAAAGUCUCUAUCGAGGUUAAAGGUGCCUGUACCGCAAACCGACACAGGUGGGUGAGGAGAGUAUCCUAAGGCCAGCGAGAGAACUGUUGUUAAGGAACUCGGCAAAAUGACCCCGUAACUUCGGGAGAAGGGGUGCCUUCGAAAGAAGGCCGCAGAGAAUAGGCCCAAGCGACUGUUUACCAAAAACAUAGGUUUCUGCUAAGUCGCAAGACGAUGUAUAGGAGCUGACGCCUGCCCGGUGCUGGAAGGUUAAGGGGAUCUGUUAGAGCAAUCGAAGCAGUGAACUUAAGCCCCAGUAAACGGCGGCCGUAACUAUAACGGUCCUAAGGUAGCGAAAUUCCUUGUCGGGUAAGUUCCGACCCGCACGAAAGGCGUAACGAUUUGGGCACUGUCUCAACAACAGACUCGGUGAAAUUGUAAUACCGGUGAAGAUGCCGGUUACCUGCGACAGGACGGAAAGACCCCAUGGAGCUUUACUGUAGCUUGACAUUGAGUCUCGGUGCUACAUGUACAGGAUAGGUGGGAGACUAUGAAGCAUGGACGUCAGUCUGUGUGGAGUCAUCCUUGGGAUACCACCCUUGUAGUACUGGGAUUCUAACCAGAGGCCAUGAAUCUGGUCUUGGGACACUGUCAGGUGGACAGUUUGACUGGGGCGGUCGCCUCCCAAAAAGUAACGGAGGCGCUCAAAGGUUCUCUCAGUACGGUCGGAAAUCGUACGAAGAGUGUAAAGGCAAAAGAGAGCUUGAUUGCAAGACAUACAGGUCGAGCAAGGACGAAAGUCGGACUUAGUGAUCCGGUGGUUCCGCAUGGAAGGGCCAUCGCUCAACGGAUAAAAGCUACCCUGGGGAUAACAGGCUUAUCUCCCCCAAGAGUCCACAUCGACGGGGAGGUUUGGCACCUCGAUGUCGGCUCAUCACAUCCUGGGGCUGUAUUCGGUCCCAAGGGUUCGGCUGUUCGCCGAUUAAAGUGGUACGCGAGCUGGGUUCAGAACGUCGUGAGACAGUUCGGUCCCUAUCCGUCGCAGGCGUAGGAAAUUUGAGAAGACCUGUCCUUAGUACGAGAGGACCGGGAUGGACGUACCUCUGGUGUACCAGUUGUUCUGCCAAGGGCAUGGCUGGGUAGCUAUGUACGGAAUGGAUAAGCGCUGAAAGCAUCUAAGCGCGAAGCCAACUUCAAGAUAAGAUUUCCCACCGUAAGGGUAAGACCCCAGGAAGACUACCUGGUUGA